AGCAGCCGCGGUAAUUCCAGCUCCAAUAGCGUAUAUUAAAGUUGUUGCAGUUAAAAAGCUCGUAGUUGAAUUUCGGGAUUGGCGCAUCGGUCGUGCCUUACGGGGUAUGAACUGGUGCAGUCAAUUUCUCACCUUCUGGAGAACCGCGAUGUCCUUAAUUGGGUGCCGCGGGGAACCAGGACCUUUACUUUGAAAAAAUUAGAGUGUUUAAAGCAGGCAUUUUUGCUUGAAUACAUUAGCAUGGAAUAAUAAAAUAGGACGGCAUGGUUCUAUUUUGUUGGUUUCUAGGACCACCGUAAUGAUUAAUAGGGAUAGUUGGGGGCAUUAGUAUUCAAUUGUCAGAGGUGAAAUUCUUGGAUUUAUUGAAGACUAACUACUGCGAAAGCAUUUGCCAAGGAUGUUUUCAUUAAUCAAGAACGAAAGUUAGGGGAUCGAAGACGAUCAGAUACCGUCGUAGUCUUAACCAUAAACUAUGCCGACUAGGAAUCAGACGAUGUUAAUUUUUAAUGACUCGUUUGGC
RNAcentral lists this ribosomal RNA (520 nucleotides) under uncultured Entrophospora. RNAcentral's name for it is "SSU rRNA". It matches the Rfam family "Eukaryotic small subunit ribosomal RNA", at positions 569 to 1084 of the family's 1831-position model. Lineage: Eukaryota; Fungi; Glomeromycota; Glomeromycetes; Entrophosporales; Entrophosporaceae. The record is from RNAcentral.